UAUGGCAGACAAGUGCAUUGGAUUUAAACUCCUUUUAUAAAGAAAUUUCUUUUAUUAAAA
This 60-nucleotide transfer RNA is filed under the name Temnothorax tricarinatus. RNAcentral's name for it is "tRNA-Leu". The record is from RNAcentral. Lineage: Eukaryota; Metazoa; Arthropoda; Insecta; Hymenoptera; Formicidae.